UUAUUAUUAUUAUUAUUAUUAUUAUAGCUUGGCUGCAAGGCACCUGCUUCUCUUAGAAAUGGGAUUUAUCUCAGUUGUAGGGCAGGAGAGAGUGGCCCAAAUUGGGGCGAGGUUCAGAAAAGGUGGCCGGAGAGAUAGGACACAAAUGGAGAUAAGAGAUGGAUGUAUAUAUAUAAAAGGCUCCUGGUGUUCGGAUGGCCUUCCAGACGUCCGCAGGCCAAGAAGGUUCUGCUUCUUUUCUCCCAGUUUUCCUUCAUCCGGAUUCUGCCCGAAGUCUCUGGGCCGGAUAUCAUCAUAUACUGUAAGUUGGAAUGAGACACUACAGUAUAGAUGAUGUACUACCUUGAGCUCUUUCUUCCCGACUCGGGAUCUUCGGCCAAGGGAACCGGGGAGGGGGGUGGGUGUGUCUACACCGUCCAAUUAAUCCAGUUUGGAACCACUUUGAAACUUUGGAAGAAGAAGAAGAACUGACCGGUGUGUUGGCGAAACCGUUACCAUUACUGAGUUUAGUAAUGGUAAGGGUUCUUCUAUCACGCCGACUUCCGCCGAAGCAAGAAAACGAAGAACCUCGGGCAGCGUUGUUUGUUGGGCGGCGGCAUCAUUUCCCCCUUUUUAAUAAAAAUAUAAAAUAAAAAUUA
Anolis carolinensis (green anole) is the source of this 638-nucleotide long non-coding RNA. RefSeq lists it as uncharacterized. The record is from RefSeq and is a predicted model, not a curated record. The transcript is spliced from 2 exons. Lineage: Eukaryota; Metazoa; Chordata; Lepidosauria; Squamata; Anolidae.